ACUUUACAUCUAAAUGGUGUUUAUCAUAAUCAAAGAUUGAACUAAAAGCUUUUUAUCAAGUUACAUUUAAUUUUCACUUACUUUUUAUUGGUGAUCGAAGUGAAACUCAACUGAAACGCCUUAAAACUUCAGCCUGAAAGUUUUAAAUGUUGACAGAAAUUUUUCGCAGUUAAUCCUCCAUCUGUUGAAUCAAUAUUGCACUAAGCAAGGAAAAAUUGUUUUAUCUACCGAAAGAUAGCACUACACACUACUGAAAUAAAUUGCAGCAACAAACUCUUCAAGACUCGGUGGCGCCUUCGAGUUACUAAACAAAUGAAUGAAAACUCAUUGAUUAUUAAUAAAUUAUUAAUUCAAUAAGCUUUGAAUUUGAUGAUUCUGAAUGAAAAUUGGUGAACGUGACUAUUGCUUGGUUCGGAUUUUUGCUUCCCUCAAUGGCAAAACUGAUGAAUACGACAAUGAAAGGCAAAGAUGAUUUCCAUCUGUUUGUGCAAUCGUUGAUUCCAAAUAAUCGGGAAAUUUUUAUAUCGUAUAGAUGAUCUCAUGAUUUGUGCUGGCAUAUCUAUGCUUGUGUUUUGUUUCAAACAUGGUGAUUCAGAUAGACACACAUUCCUUCAAUUUGUGUAUCUUACUCUAUGGUACUGAUUUCCAAUGCCAUUCACAUGCCAUCUGAUUGGAUUAACUGUGUACUCAAUUUUAUUACCUCCAAUUGUAUAACAAGAUGAUAUUAUCGCGAAAGUACUGAGUUUUAUAAUGCUGUUAACUGCUUACUCAAUAUUAUCUACCAAUCUGGAUCUUAAGCUAACUUGGAAUUAUUAUGUAUUGCAAUUAAUGGUUUGAAAAUGCACACAAAUCUAAUAUUUAGAUGACAAAGAACUUGAACGUCAGAAAAAAGCAAGCCAAACUGGGUAUCAUCUAAUUGGGUUAACCAAAGAAACCAGAAAUGCAAGAAGUUCCUAUUUACAUUGGAUAAUUAGAUCGACAUCAUCAACACCAGGAUCCAUCAAGACAGGAGAAGACGGCAUUUAAAAACGGAAAUAAUGGUUAUAAUAUAAAUGAGGUUUAAACAGUUGAAUAAUUUGCUUACGGACAAGCUGAACAAUCAAGACAGUGAAUAACGAGAUAACCAGACAAACUGACAAUCUAAAGCAUUAGUGAGCAACCAGUUUACCUAUCAAAGACACACAAAGAGUACAAUCGGAAGCAAUGCUAUUUAAUUUCCGUUGGUUCAGUUGGAAAAUAUUGAUGAUUAAACCUUCUUUACGUAAUAGUCGGUUGAAUAAAUGUGGCAAAGACGAGUAAUGACAUGAUAAUUGGUGGAAACAUCAUCCCAAUGAAGCUACCAAUCCAUUGCUCAAUGGUUAAUUUGCAUUGCCUCCAUUGAACUUCAUUAAGAUUUGUGAUUUUACUCACAAUCAUAUGAAAUCUCUCCGGAUGCAUGAAAAUAAUUAAACCAUAGCAACAUAUAUUAAUCUCAAUUCAAUUGUAAUUUUUGUCGAUGUUGCACUCACGUGAACGUUAUAGUGGUUAUAAAUCAGAUAACUUGAAGAUGUUUGAUUAUACUUUUGACGUUCACCUGAUCAUUUUAUUGGUGAUCAAUGAUGAUCACUCACUUGAAACUUAACUAUCACUAAUCAGCUAGCAUGGACUUAUUUUUAGUCUAACCAUGUAAGUGUCAUUCAAUGAAUCUUUGAAUGUGAUAUGUUUAUAAUUCAUCCUAUUUAUCUGUCCAUUGUUACCAUUUUUUUUUGAUUAGUUAAUCAACAUUCAAUCAAUCACACAUAGUAACAUUAUUACAACACGAGAUACACUUGAAAAGAAUGUAAAUGUCAACAGAAACAUUAAAUCAUGACAAACGUUAAUUCCGUUUCUAGUUAA
This is a long non-coding RNA of Tetranychus urticae (two-spotted spider mite), 1875 nucleotides long. RefSeq lists it as uncharacterized. Lineage: Eukaryota; Metazoa; Arthropoda; Arachnida; Trombidiformes; Tetranychidae. The record is from RefSeq and is a predicted model, not a curated record.